GUAGGUGGCAAGCGUUGUCCGGAAUUAUUGGGCGUAAAGCGCGCGCAGGCGGUUCUUUAAGUCUGAUGUGAAAGCCCACGGCUCAACCGUGGAGGGUCAUUGGAAACUGGAGAACUUGUGUACAGAAGAGGAAAGCGGAAUUCCACGUGUAGCGGUGAAAUGCGUAGAGAUGUGGAGGAACACCAGUGGCGAAGGCGGCUUUCUGGUCUGUAACUGACGCUGAGGCGCGAAAGCGUGGGGAGCAAACAGGAUUAGAUACCCUGGUAGUCCACGCCGUAAACGAUGAGUGCUAAGUGUUAGGGGGUUUCCGCCCCCCUUAGUGCUGCAGCUAACGCAUUAAGCACUCCGCCUGGGAGUACGGCCGCAAGGCUG
RNAcentral lists this ribosomal RNA (372 nucleotides) under uncultured organism. RNAcentral's name for it is "partial 16S ribosomal RNA". It matches the Rfam family "Bacterial small subunit ribosomal RNA", at positions 527 to 896 of the family's 1533-position model. The record is from RNAcentral.